GAUGAACGCUAGCUACAAGGCUUAACACAUGCAAGUCGUGGGGCAGCAUGGGAGAUGCUUGCAUUUCCUGAUGGCGACCGGGGCACGGGUGAGUAACGCGUAUCCAACCUGCCCUUCACUCCGGCACAGCCCGUCGAAAGACGGAUUAAUGCGGGAUGCAGUCAGAAAGAUGCAUAUUAAUUUGACGAAAGGCUUUAUGCCGGUGAGGGAUGGGGAUGCGUCCGAUUAGCUUGACGGCGGGGUAACGGCCCACCGUGGCGACGAUCGGUAGGGGUUCUGAGAGGAAGGUCCCCCACAUUGGAACUGAGACACGGUCCAAACUCCUACGGGAGGCACAUGAGGAAUAUUGGUCAAUGGGCGAGAGCCUGAACCACCAGUACGUGAAGGAUGACGGCCCUACCGGUUGUAACUUUCUUUUGUGCGGGAAUAAAGGAGCCUACGUGUAGGCUUUUGCAUGUACCGUAACGAAUAAGCAUCGGCUAACUCCGUGCCAGCASCCGCGGUAAUACGGAGGAUGCGAGCGUUAUCCGGAUUUAUUGGGUUUAAAGGGAGCGUAGACGGGUUUUUAAGUCAGCUGUGAAAGUUUGGGGCUCAACCUUAAAAUUGCAGUUGAAACUGGAGACCUUGAGUACGGUUGAGGCAGGCGGAAUUCGUGGUGUAGCGGUGAAAUGCUUAGAUAUCACGAAGAACCCCGAUUGCGAAGGCAGCCUGCUAAGCCGCCACUGACGUUGAGGCUCGAAAGUGCGGGUAUCAAACAGGAUUAGAUACCCUGGUAGUCCGCACGGUAAACGAUGGAUACUCGCUGUUGGCGAUAGACGGUCAGCGGCCAAGCGAAAGCGUUAAGUAUCCCACCUGGGGAGUACGCCGGCAACGGUGAAACUCAAAGGAAUUGACGGGGGCCCGCACAAGCGGAGGAACAUGUGGUUUAAUUCGAUGAUACGCGAGGAACCUUACCCGGGCUUGAACUGCAGUGGAAUUAUCCGGAAACGGAUAAGCGAGCAAUCGCCGCUGUGGAGGUGCUGCAUGGGUUGUCGUCAGCUCGUGCCGUGAGGUGUCGGGCUUAAGUGCCAUAACGAGCGCAACCCUUGCUGCCAGUUACUAACAGGUCAUGCUGAGGACUCUGGCAGGACUGCCAUCGUAAGAUGCGAGGAAGGUGGGGAUGACGUCAAAUCAGCACGGCCCUUACGUCCGGGGCUACACACGUGUUACAAUGGGGAGUACAGAGGGCAGCUACCGGGCGACCGGAUGCGAAUCCCGAAAGCUCCUCUCAGUUCGGACUGGAGUCUGCAACCCGACUCCACGAAGCUGGAUUCGCUAGUAAUCGCGCAUCAGCCACGGCGCGGUGAAUACGUUCCCGGGCCUUGUACACACCGCCCGUCAAGCCAUGAAAGCCGGGGGUACCUGAAGUACGUAACCGCGAGGAUCGUCCUAGGGUAAAACCGGUAAUUGGGGCUA
RNAcentral lists this ribosomal RNA (1455 nucleotides) under uncultured bacterium. RNAcentral describes it as "bacterial SSU rRNA". It matches the Rfam family "Bacterial small subunit ribosomal RNA". The record is from RNAcentral.